GGAGAGAUGGCUCAGUGGUUAAAGCACUGACUGCUCUUCCAGGGGUCCUGAGUUCAAUUUCCAGCAACCACA
RNAcentral lists this transfer RNA (72 nucleotides) under Mus musculus (house mouse). RNAcentral describes it as "tRNA-Ser". The record is from RNAcentral. Lineage: Eukaryota; Metazoa; Chordata; Mammalia; Rodentia; Muridae.